This 3743-nucleotide unclassified non-coding RNA is filed under the name Harpegnathos saltator (Jerdon's jumping ant). Its description in RNAcentral is "luc7-like protein 3, transcript variant X4". Lineage: Eukaryota; Metazoa; Arthropoda; Insecta; Hymenoptera; Formicidae. The record is from RNAcentral.
CUUUGGCACGUUUAGUCUCUAGUUUCACUUCGUUUUACUGUUGUCACGGUCCUUUCGGUUUCGGUUGCGUGUUCUAUCUUGUGAUUGUGUGUUACAUUGAAGUUAUUCCGGUUUACUCCUCACAUUCUAUAACACAUUCAAAGUAUUUCUUUGCUGCAUAUUAUUCGCAUCCUAGAUUUUUCUGUGUGCAAAUUUCAGUUGUGAGUCGACGUCAUUAUUGCCGAGCGCGGCCGAAACAAAAUGGCCGCAGCCGCGGCCGCCGCAUUGCUCGAUGAGCUUAUGGGUAGGAACAGAAAUGUUCUACCUAAUGAAAAACCCAAAGAACUUAACUGGGAGGAUCCUGAGUUUUGUAAGCUAUAUCUUGUGAAGUUCUGCCCUCAUGACUUGUUUGUCAAUACAAGAGCAGACUUAGGUGCUUGUCCCAGGAUGCAUGAUGAUGAAGCCAGAGAAUUGUUUGAAAAGGCGCCACCUUCGUACCGCAAGCAACAAUAUGAGGAUGAAUUCAUUAGGUACUGCCAGAGUAUGUUAAAUGAGGUUGAACGUAAGAUUGUGAAAGGAAAACAACGAUUAGCCUUGAUUGGUAGAACAGAAGCGCCAACAUUGACCCUGGCUCAAACACAGAAAAAUGAGGAACAAAUUGCUUUAUUGACAGAGAAAAUAAACAAAUUAGUGGAUGAGGCAGAGCAAAGUGGAAUUCAGGGUAAUGUUGAACAAGCACAAGGCUUGAUGCGUCUUUGUGACCAACUAAAGGAAGAACGGGAAACUUUAAAAAAGUCCAAUGAUAAUAGUCAUUAUAAUCAGACUGCUGAAUUAGCAGCUGCACAAGAAAAGCAGAUGGAAGUAUGUGAUGUUUGUGGUGCGUUCCUCAUUGUCGGUGAUGCUCAACAACGAAUUGAUGAUCAUUUAAUGGGAAAACAGCAUGUGGGUUAUGCAAGAUUGAAAAGUGCCCUUCAAGAAAUUAUGAACAAACGUGAAAAAGCGCGUGAUGAGAAAGAGCAGAAGAGAGAGGAAGAGCGAAAACAAAGAGCGCGUGCGAAUGAAGAAUUAGAUAGGCGGCGAAGAGAUGGUGACAGAGAUAGAGAUCGUGACAGAGAGAGGGACAAACGUCGUAGACGUAUAGAUGAUGAUAAACGCCGUGACUCGAGCAGUCACAGAAAUUCCGGGCAUAGAAGUAGAAGUAGAUCGCGGGAUAAACAUGAACGUCAUCGUGAUGAAGAUAGUCAUCGCCGUCAUAACCGAGGAAAUCGUGAUCAUCGGGGUACCAGCCACCACAGCCGACGCCGACACCGCUCGCGAAGCCGAAGUCACAAGUAACUUCUCUUGAUUGGUUAGUGAGUGAGAAGUAAGCCAGGUAUGCACCAAACAAUAUAACCAUAUUCGUCUCAAUUACUGUACAGGUAUUCUUUCGAUCCAGGUGAGUUGCCAUUCCGAUGCACAUAAUACAUAUACAUGAUAAUAUAAUCUGUGAUGUUUGAAGUGCCGCGUAAGUCACACAGCAAGUUCGUCUCGUUUUCUCUCUCUGAAACACACUCUAUCUCUCUCCGUCUCUCUUUAUCUGACUUUCCAUUAAUUCAUCUAUAUGACAAGUCGUUUCUCGUGAAGUAAAAUUUGAUGAAGAAGUUGAUCUGAGGCCGCCGUUGUUCUCUUAUAGUACAUCACGUUCCUCUUUAUCGUUAAAAGUACGAGUCGUAAUUAACGGUGCGUAAGUCAAGUGUGUAAGGUAGUAACUGUGAGAGGUAGUUAAAAUUGAUAGGCUAAAGAAUCUUGAUACUUAUCGUUGUAGGUAGUACCGUAGAUAUCUAUAAUGGACGAAAGAACUCAGUGCAACAAUGGUCUAAUUCGCUUUUCUGACUUGUCAGAAUCAAUGUUGAACACAAGAAAAAUCAACUUCAUCGAAAAGUCAGACCGUAUUGUUGCAGUGGUUUUGAAAAGAAUCAUUUUUACAAAGUGUUUCGAAUAAAUUCAUACUCAUUAACAAUUAAUCAUAGUUAUCAUAUUGAUCGGAUGCUAAAAUAAUUGCAAAAAUAGUAGUAAUUAAUACCUGUGUGUGACAGUUACUUGAUUAAUAGUUUCCUUAAUCGUGAUUACUUUAUUAAUUAUUUGUUAAAGUGAUUGCGAUAGUAAUAGAGAUUAUACUACCCGAUAUUGAUAGAGAUGCAGUUGUCUAACUGAUAUUACAUCCCGUGCACUUUCUUUGUAUACCAAGCAAGCUGGGAGAAGGUAUACCUACGCUUGCUUCCACCAUUAUAAUUCUGUAUCCGAGAAGUGAAUGGACAUAGGUCCAAAAAGUUACCUUUUUUCCAGGAGAACUCGUGAACUUAUCCGAAUUCAUGGAAUCGUGGAUACACAAUUUUAAGACGGAUCAACAAAUGAGCUUGGAUUAAUAUACAAUCAGAUAAUUGAAUUUCGAGAGCUUCAGUUGGAUUUGCUUCGUUUUGUAACUUAUGAGCUCGUAUUUCCCAUUGUGAAGGAUAAUUUUGGAUCUCAUUCCUCUCUGCUUCUCGGAAUACGGAACUGUCUUUCGUAGGUUCGUUAAAAUUGCUCGCGCGUCAAUAAAAGAGAGGGAGAGAGAGAGAGAGAAAGAGAUUUAGUGAUUUAGUGUGGAGAGGACACAGCUCUCAGUGCCCGCUUCGUAGAGCUUCGUCCACGACUGCAAAUGCACGAGUGCACAACUACGAGUGUGCCCUGCAAACGUGUGACUGUGACUAUACGAAGCUCUAGCUUCUGCCACGCAAUUGACGAGGUAUUUAUGCCGGAAUGAUAAUAUCAACACAUGUCCUUCUGUCCAGGAGAAUAUUCCCCUUGCUUCCGUUCUCGAGUAUGUUUUCUCCGAGUCUUUGGCGAAUUAGGGAUCUGACGAUUGUAGGCACGUUUAUAGAUAGUACAGGAAUUCUCGAAUUUCUGGUGUAUAGGGUGACGAUCUCUCUUCGUAUAAAGACUGUGACAAUAACGAGACUAAGACAUUUACUGUUUUCUAAAGAGGAAGUAAGACUAACACUAAAAAUCGCAUUAUUUCUAUCGUAAAGAGAAUAUAUCUAGACGAAAAGAAGACCAUUUUCUUUUGAUACAAGAAAAUGAACAUCAACGGAAGGAAAUAAAUAGCACGAAAUCUCGCUCGAAGAGCAAGCGCUGACUAAUAUUCUUUUUGAUACGCAGCUAUCUCUUUAAAGGAAACACUUAAUUAUUUAAAUAUUUUUGGAAUUAUACACUUCACCGAUAAACCAUCCUAUCUCAUCUGACAAUGGAAGUUAGGUGAUUAGGUGCAUCAGUCACUUCCGAUGCUGUUAACUGAGACAUAAUUGAUAACACUAUAAUAAUAAUAGUAAUAAUAAUAAUAAUGAUGAUGAUAAUAAUAAUAUAAUGAUAAUAAUAAUAAUCAUAAUAAUAUAUAAGGAAAUCAUGCGCUUAUUAAACAAAUACACAAUCAACAAAGAGGCAAGAUUUUACCAGCAAAUCUGGCAUAUGAUUGCACAAUAUUUGACCACUACAUUGAAUCGUGAUCUGAUGACACUUCUGCUAAAAUUUGGAUUCUCUAUUUUCAGAAUGGAGACGAAAGAAAACUCUGGAGAUUAUGCAAGACAUCGCUUAACGUAUUAUUACGUUAAAGAUUUUGCAUAAUCUCAACGAUGGUGAAAGAGUGGGAGAGAAAGGGAAGACAGACGAAGGAUAGAUGCGUCGAGACCAGAGAAACUUGGAUUGGUUUAACUUAUGAUACGAGCGAUUGUUAUUUUAGGCCGUCUAUA